RNAcentral lists this ribosomal RNA (465 nucleotides) under Vreelandella stevensii. Its description in RNAcentral is "partial 16S ribosomal RNA". It matches the Rfam family "Bacterial small subunit ribosomal RNA", at positions 338 to 795 of the family's 1533-position model. Lineage: Bacteria; Pseudomonadati; Pseudomonadota; Gammaproteobacteria; Oceanospirillales; Halomonadaceae. The record is from RNAcentral.
CCUACGGGGGGCAGCAGUGGGGAAUAUUGGACAAUGGGGGCAACCCUGAUCCAGCCAUGCCGCGUGUGUGAAGAAGGCCCUCGGGUUGUAAAGCACUUUCAGUGAGGAAGAACGCCUGGUGGUUAAUACCCAUCAGGAAAGACAUCACUCACAGAAGAAGCACCGGCUAACUCCGUGCCAGCAGCCGCGGUAAUACGGAGGGUGCGAGCGUUAAUCGGAAUUACUGGGCGUAAAGCGCGCGUAGGUGGCUUGAUAAGCCGGUUGUGAAAGCCCCGGGCUCAACCUGGGAACGGCAUCCGGAACUGUCAAGCUAGAGUGCAGGAGAGGAAGGUAGAAUUCCCGGUGUAGCGGUGAAACGCGUAGAGAUCGGGAGGAAUACCAGUGGCGAAGGCGGCCUUCUGGACUGACACUGACACUGAGGUGCGAAAGCGUGGGUAGCAAACAGGAUUAGAUACCCCAGUAGUC